Molecule: long non-coding RNA, 813 nt
Filed under: Brassica napus (rape)
Lineage: Eukaryota; Viridiplantae; Streptophyta; Magnoliopsida; Brassicales; Brassicaceae
Description: long non-coding RNA (BNAP_LNC016614)
Source: RNAcentral
AUGGACUUCGGGUUUAGUAUCUCAUACCUCACUGAGUGACUUUCCCGUUACUCACCCCUCUCUCUUCCCCAUUUCAGGUGAGACUGACGAGUAUAUGAUAUUUGGACGGAUGGGUGCUACUGGACUUUUUAUUCGGAUUUUUAUUGGGGCUUUGGAUGAGUGUAAUUGGGUAUAUGGGCUUUUAUUAUAUGUGAUAUUGUUGGUGGUCCGCUGUUCUCCGGAUUGGAGGUGACGGGCGUCACAAGAAGCCUCAUGAUGAGGUGCAAAACCAGUUUCUCCUCGUUGUCGAUUCUAUUGACAAGAUCAGUUCAAACAGCCCUAAGCAGAAUCAAUUCUGUUCAGGCCCAAGUCACUUCAAAUCCAACAACCUAAGCCCAUUUCAACAAGUCAUCAACUCUCUCCAACCGUACUCUGCGAUAAAGAUAGAGCAAGAGAAGAGAAAAGAAAGGAAAAGUUAUGACAUCACCAUGUGGUCUUGGCUUGUACAACUCAGUCUCAGCCUUAGGAUCUCUCGGAAAAGAAGGAUGAUGACAAGUGUAAUAGGAACUAGGGCUUUCACUUGUUUCUAUUUAAGCAAUCUCAAUCUAUUACAAAACCUUAAGAAGCAAGAAAUAGAAAUCUCAGUUUCAGAAUCUUAUUUCUUCACACUUUCAUGGUAUCAGAGCCAUGGAAGUUGUUGAACUCUAUUCACCUCCUUCACUAAAGAUAGUGAACUCAAUCACAGUUUAAGCUCAUCGAGCGAAACUACUUAUUGUGGAAGAAUCAGUUCGAAGCUUUUCUCAACGGUCAACGUCUUUUAGGGUUUGUCACCGG